GACGAACGCUGGCGGCAUGCCUAAUACAUGCAAGUCGAGCGAACAGAUGAAGUGCUUGCACUUCUGACGUUAGCGGCGAGCGGGUGAGUAACACGUAAGGAAUCUACCUAUAAGCGGGGGAUAACAUUCGGAAACGGGUACUAAUACCGCAUAAUAUCUUCUUCCGCAUGGAAGAAGAUUGAAAGACGGCUCUGCUGUCACUUAUAGAUGACCUUGCGGUGCAUUAGUUAGUUGGUGGGGUAACGGCCUACCAAGACGAUGAUGCAUAGCCGACCUGAGAGGGUGAUCGGCCACAUUGGGACUGAGACACGGCCCAAACUCCUACGGGAGGCAGCAGUAGGGAAUCCUCCGCAAUGGGCGACAGCCUGACGGAGCAAUGCCGCGUGAGUGAAGAAGGCCUUCGGGUCGUAAAACUCUGUUAUAAGAGAAGAACAAAUUGUAGAGUAACUGCUACAGUCUUGACGGUAUCUUAUCAGAAAGCCACGGCUAACUACGUGCCAGCCGCCGCCGUAA
RNAcentral lists this ribosomal RNA (513 nucleotides) under uncultured bacterium. RNAcentral's name for it is "partial 16S ribosomal RNA". It matches the Rfam family "Bacterial small subunit ribosomal RNA", at positions 28 to 523 of the family's 1533-position model. The record is from RNAcentral.